AAGUUGGAAACCCUAGCUGCUCUCCCACUCCCACCCAGUUGACAGCCGCAUCCCAACGCCACAUCCACCCAAAGAAGGUCACCGGUGCCAUCCUCUCUGCGCUCCUGACGAGUGAUGACCCGACUCGUCUCUAUGGCAGUGACGCCGCGCUCUCUCUGCGACAGCGGCACCAGCACAUGACUCCUCUCCACACCCCAUCGCCGACUUCCCCGCACAGCCAUCACAGACUCACGAUUAGAGAUGGCAGUGGGGACCCGAUCCCCAAUUCUCCGCGGGGAAUUCCUCUAUUAGGGAACGAGUAUAGAACUAAUUUAGUCCCCACGGGGAUCUAAAUGAGGGAAAUUUAAUCCCUGUCGGGUUCGUGGGGACGGAACCAUCCCCGUUCCCCGUGUACCCGCUCCACGAAACUUUUUUUAUCCAAGUUAGUCAAUUUAUUUGUUAAAAUUAUAGUAAAAACUUAGUGCAUGGCAUGUUAUAAAAUAGCAAACUAAACUCUAAAGUAGAUGUCUUUUGUAAUUUUUAAUCUUGUUUGUUAAAUUUAUAUUAAUUUGAUAUAAUCAAUUUAAAUUUAUUUUUAAAUAUUGUACUUCUAGCGAGGACAGAUUCCUUACGGGGAUGGGGAAUUUUUCUCCCAGCGAGCGAGGAUGGGGAUAGGGAGCCAUUCCCUGACGAGGAAAUCCCCGUUGCCAUCCCUACUCACGAUCCUCUAGGCAGGCGUCGGCUGACCUCUCCAUCUGUUGUGGCCUGUUCGUGUGACGGUGUAAACCCAUCGACUGAUCUGUGUCAGAUCUCCAUCGAGACUAACGGGAGGGAUUUCAUCUUGACCAGGUGCAAGGACGUCCAAUUGUUCUUAUCACUGGAAACUCUAUGAACAUGUAUGUGUAAGAAAAUUGUAUGUUCUCAUCAAAACAGUCUGGACAUUGUAUGGUUGUUCGUAAGAAAACUGUAUGUGUUUGGAAAAUGUAUGGUUAUUUCUAAGGAAACUGAAUCUAUUAUUCUAUAACGAAUUGAAUGUUUGUUGGAAUUUA
This is a long non-coding RNA of Zea mays, 1028 nucleotides long. RefSeq lists it as uncharacterized. The record is from RefSeq and is a predicted model, not a curated record. Lineage: Eukaryota; Viridiplantae; Streptophyta; Magnoliopsida; Poales; Poaceae. The transcript has 2 exons.